GUGUGAUCACAUUGAUGCCACAAUGGACGACUGAUCAAUGCUCCACUACCAAAAGGAAGCCAAGCCCUGCCACCCUUUACAACAAAACAAGGUGUGAUCACAUUGAUGCCACAAUGGACGACUGAUCAAUGCUCCACUACCAAAAGGAAGCCAAGCCCUGCCACCCUUUACAACAAAACAAGGUGUGAUCACAUUGAUGCCACAAUGGACGACUGAUCAAUGCUCCACUACCAAAAGGAAGCCAAGCCCUGCCACCCUUUACAACAAAACAAGGUGUGAUCACAUUGAUGCCACAAUGGACGACUGAUCAAUGCUCCACUACCAAAAGGAAGCCAAGCCCUGCCACCCUUUACAACAAAACAAGGUGUGAUCACAUUGAUGCCACAAUGGACGACUGAUCAAUGCUCCACUACCUUUUUUUUUUUUUUUUUUACUUUGAUUUUUAUUAGGUUAUUUUAUCAUUGUGGACAUACAGUAAAGAAAAUAACAAACAGACAUACAUAUAAACAAACAGAGUCUGGAGUUUACAUAUCUUUCUCCAUUUAUCACAUUGCAGAAAAAAAAAGAAAACCUAUUAUGUUAUUUCAUUUGUGUCACUUCUGAAUGUUUUCCACUUCCUCCAUAGUCUGUCGUAUUUACCUCCCAUCAGUCUAAUGUUGAGUGUUAUUUUUUCCAUCUCUGAGAUAUCCUCUACAAUACUUGCAGUAUUCUUUGUUUUUUCCUUCUUUGGGUAAGAUUGUUAUAAUAGCUUCUCCCCAUGAUGGUGGAGCUAUUCCCUGAUUCAGAGUCCAGUUGAAGCAAGAUAGAAGAAGUGGCUUGAGUUCUUCUUUGAAAACUUUGUAACUUUGUAGGUGUGAUCACAUUGAUGCCACAAUGGACGACUGAUCAAUGCUCCACUACCAAAAGGAAGCCAAGCCCUGCCACCCUUUACAACAAAACAAGGUGUGAUCACAUUGAUGCCACAAUGGACGACUGAUCAAUGCUCCACUACCAAAAGGAAGCCAAGCCCUGCCACCCUUUACAACAAAACAAGGUGUGAUCACAUUGAUGCCACAAUGGACGACUGAUCAAUGCUCCACUACCAAAAGGAAGCCAAGCCCUGCCACCCUUUACAACAAAACAAGGUGUGAUCACAUUGAUGCCACAAUGGACGACUGAUCAAUGCUCCACUACCAAAAGGAAGCCAAGCCCUGCCACCCUUUACAACAAAACAAGGUGUGAUCACAGGGC
Long non-coding RNA from Astatotilapia calliptera (eastern happy), 1230 nucleotides. The record is from Ensembl. Lineage: Eukaryota; Metazoa; Chordata; Actinopteri; Cichliformes; Cichlidae.